UAGGGAAUCUUCCGCAAUGGACGCAAGUCUGAUGGAGCAACGCCGCGUGAGUGAAGAAGGUUUUCGGAUCGUAAAGCUCUGUUGUUGGUGAAGAAGGAUAGAGGUAGUAACUGGCCUUUAUUUGACGGUAAUCAACCAGAAAGUCACGGCUAACUACGUGCCAGCAGCCGCGGUAAUACGUAGGUGGCAAGCGUUGUCCGGAUUUAUUGGGCGUAAAGCGAGCGCAGGCGGAAGAAUAAGUCUGAUGUGAAAGCCCUCGGCUUAACCGAGGAACUGCAUCGGAAACUGUUUUUCUUGAGUGCAGAAGAGGAGAGUGGAACUCCAUGUGUAGCGGUGGAAUGCGUAGAUAUAUGGAAGAACACCAGUGGCGAAGGCGACUCUCUGGUCUGCAACUGACGCUGAGGCUCGAAAGCAUGGGUAGCGAACAGGAUUAGAUACCCUGGUAGUCCAUGCCGUAAACGAUGAGUGCUAAGUGUUGGGAGGUUUCCGCCUCUCAGUGCUGCAGCUAACGCAUUAAGCACUCCGCCUGGGGAGUACGACCGCAAGGUUGAAAC
RNAcentral lists this ribosomal RNA (554 nucleotides) under uncultured bacterium. RNAcentral describes it as "partial 16S ribosomal RNA". It matches the Rfam family "Bacterial small subunit ribosomal RNA", at positions 355 to 900 of the family's 1533-position model. The record is from RNAcentral.